This is a long non-coding RNA of Mercenaria mercenaria, 535 nucleotides long. RefSeq lists it as uncharacterized. Lineage: Eukaryota; Metazoa; Mollusca; Bivalvia; Venerida; Veneridae. The record is from RefSeq and is a predicted model, not a curated record. The transcript is spliced from 3 exons.
GUCACUCGUUUGGUACUACGAAGAACCCAUUGGAAUACUUGCAAGAUGAUGAGAAAACUAAGCAAAGGAAACAGAAAUCGAUAUAUGGUCGGAUAUAUGACCGAGUGGUAAACGUGUUUAGUGUUCCUAUGGAACCUAAGGAAAGAGAAAAAAGUUCAGUAUAUGAUCCUGGAAGUCGCUCGUUUGGUACUACGAAGAACCCAUUGGAAUACUUGCAAGAUGAUGAGAAAACUAGGCAAGGGAAACAGAAAUCGAUAUAUGGUCGGAUAUAUGGUAAGUUUUAAUCAUGUGCCAUAUUAAUUAAGCUCUGUUCUCUUGUUAUAUGUUAUCAUUAAUAUCACAACAAAUUUCCGAUAUCUCAGCUACAUAUAUGAAAAAGUUAAUUUUUAAAAAUGUUCUAUAAACAUGGUUGUUCAAUCUUGCAGAGAAACGUGAAUUAUAAUUAAAGAGAGGUUUCAAUUCUGAAAAAAAAAACGCUAUAGUAUUUCCCAGGGAGUACCAGUCAGUGUGAUAAAUGCACCUAUACCAAUUUCAA